CGCGUAGGCGGCUUUUCAAGUCAGGGGUGAAAUCCCGGGGCUCAACCCCGGAACUGCCCUUGAAACUGGAUGGCUAGAAUACUGGAGAGGUGAGUGGAAUUCCGAGUGUAGAGGUGAAAUUCGUAGAUAUUCGGAAGAACACCAGUGGCGAAGGCGACUCACUGGACAGUUAUUGACGCUGAGGUGCGAAAGCGUGGGGAGCAAACA
RNAcentral lists this ribosomal RNA (207 nucleotides) under uncultured bacterium. Its description in RNAcentral is "partial 16S ribosomal RNA". It matches the Rfam family "Bacterial small subunit ribosomal RNA", at positions 568 to 774 of the family's 1533-position model. The record is from RNAcentral.